RNAcentral lists this long non-coding RNA (711 nucleotides) under Fragaria vesca (wild strawberry). RNAcentral describes it as "long non-coding RNA (FVES_LNC000057)". Lineage: Eukaryota; Viridiplantae; Streptophyta; Magnoliopsida; Rosales; Rosaceae. The record is from RNAcentral.
CUAUAUAUAAGAAAAAGUGAAACCUACUAGAAAGCUUUCACUAAGAUCAUUUUGUGUUGCUUAAAUUUACGUAAUUACUUUUUCUAUGUGUGGAUUAUUUCACAUGCAUCUGUUUUUCAACUUUGCUUGUUUCUUUCUAUUGCCUAGGGUUUUAUUUUCCCCCUAAGCUUCCAUUUUGAUAAAGUAAUUUGGGGUUCACAUCCAAAACCAAUUGGCAAUGGGUGGAGUGGCCCAAACCCUUAUUAACCCACAGGCAAGGUCCUAUAUUCCCGAUGUGGGAUAUAUAUCUCAACACGCCCCUGCACGUGUGGCGAAUCUUAAAGCCUAACACGUGGACAACAUUUGGGUGACGUGGAGUUCGUGUGGCCAUUGGGCUUCACACGUGGACGUGGGUAACCCGCUCUGAUACCAUGAUAAAGUAAUCUGGGGUUCACAUCUAAAACCAAUUGGCAAUGGGUGGAGUGGCCCAAACCCUUAUUAACCCACAGGCAAGGUCCCAUAUUCCCGACGUGGGAUAUAUAUCUCAACACAUUUCCGCUGAUGUCACUGUUGAUUUCUAGAGUUCGACAUUGUUUACAUUCAGUUCUAUUUUUCUUAUUGUACUAAACCUGAUGAAAGUUUUGCUCCUCUGGCUGUUACCUGAGAAAUGAUGGGAGAUGUUCUAAUACCAUAUUUUUGACAACUGCUUCUGGUAUUUAAUAAUGUGAGCCU